RNAcentral lists this ribosomal RNA (253 nucleotides) under uncultured bacterium. RNAcentral describes it as "partial 16S ribosomal RNA". It matches the Rfam family "Bacterial small subunit ribosomal RNA", at positions 524 to 776 of the family's 1533-position model. The record is from RNAcentral.
UACGUAGGGGGCAAGCGUUGUCCGGAUUUACUGGGCGUAAAGAGCGCGCAGGCGGUCGGAUCAGUCGAAUGUGAAAGCCCCCGGCUCAACUGGGGAGGGUCAUUCGAUACUGUCCGACUCGAAGGCAGGAGAGGGAAGCGGAAUUCCCGGUGUAGUGGUGAAAUGCGUAGAUAUCGGGAGGAACAUCAGUGGCGAAGGCGGCCUUCUGGUCCAGUACUGACACUCAAGUGCGAAAGCGUGGGGAGCAAACAGG